This 205-nucleotide non-coding RNA is filed under the name Fictibacillus arsenicus. Its description in RNAcentral is "T-box sequence". It matches the Rfam family "T-box leader". Rfam says of the family: Uncharged tRNA acts as the effector for transcription antitermination of genes in the T-box leader family. T-boxes are found upstream of many aminoacyl-tRNA synthetase genes and some amino acid biosynthetic genes usually in Gram-positive bacteria. Lineage: Bacteria; Bacillati; Bacillota; Bacilli; Caryophanales; Fictibacillaceae. The record is from RNAcentral.
AGAACAUUUAUGAAAAAGAGAGUACUCUGUUUAGUUUGUUAUAGAGAGCCGGGAGCGGUGGAAGCCUGGCACAACUGUCAGAAGAAGCGCACUUUGGAAAUGUUUGCUUGAAAAUUCCGUAGGGCAAACCGGGACAUCCCGUUAACAGAUCAAGCGGCCUUUUAAAGGCAACAAGAGUGGUACCGCGGUAUAAUCCGUCUCUUCU